This 303-nucleotide ribosomal RNA is filed under the name uncultured bacterium. RNAcentral describes it as "partial 16S ribosomal RNA". It matches the Rfam family "Bacterial small subunit ribosomal RNA", at positions 524 to 835 of the family's 1533-position model. The record is from RNAcentral.
UACGUAGGGUGCAAGCGUUGUCCGGAAUUAUUGGGCGUAAAGAGCUCGUAGGCGGUUUGUUGCGUCGGCCGUGAAAACUUGGGGCUUAACCCCGAGCCUGCGGUCGAUACGGGCAGACUUGAGUUCGGCAGGGGAGACUGGAAUUCCUGGUGUAGCGGUGAAAUGCGCAGAUAUCAGGAGGAACACCGGUGGCGAAGGCGCCACUCUGGGCCGGAACUGACGCUGAGGAGCGAAAGCGUGGGUAGCAAACAGGAUUAGACUACCCUGUCAGUCCAAGACCAGUCUCGUCGACCUACCGAUUAA